Molecule: ribosomal RNA, 952 nt
Filed under: Salmonella enterica subsp. enterica serovar Choleraesuis
Lineage: Bacteria; Pseudomonadati; Pseudomonadota; Gammaproteobacteria; Enterobacterales; Enterobacteriaceae
Description: partial 23S ribosomal RNA
Rfam family: Bacterial large subunit ribosomal RNA
Source: RNAcentral
UAAGCGACUAAGCGUACACGGUGGAUGCCCUGGCAGUCAGAGGCGAUGAAGGGCGUGCUAAUCUGCGAUAAGCGCCGGUAAGGUGAUAUGAACCGUUAUAACCGGCGAUACCCGAAUGGGGAAACCCAGUGUGACUCGUCACACUAUCAUUAACUGAAUCCAUAGGUUAAUGAGGCGAACCGGGGGAACUGAAACAUCUAAGUACCCCGAGGAAAAGAAAUCAACCGAGAUUCCCCCAGUAGCGGCGAGCGAACGGGGAGGAGCCCAGAGCCUGAAUCAGCAUGUGUGUUAGUGGAAGCGUCUGGAAAGGCGCGCGAUACAGGGUGACAGCCCCGUACACAAAAGCGCAUGUGCUGUGAGCUCGAUGAGUAGGGCGGGACACGUGGUAUCCUGUCUGAAUAUGGGGGGACCAUCCUCCAAGGCUAAAUACUCCUGACUGACCGAUAGUGAACCAGUACCGUGAGGGAAAGGCGAAAAGAACCCCGGCGAGGGGAGUGAAAAAGAACCUGAAACCGUGUACGUACAAGCAGUGGGAGCACAGGUUUACCUGUGUGACUGCGUACCUUUUGUAUAAUGGGUCAGCGACUUAUAUUCUGUAGCAAGGUUAACCGUAUAGGGGAGCCGUAGGGAAACCGAGUCUUAACCGGGCGUUAAGUUGCAGGGUAUAGACCCGAAACCCGGUGAUCUAGCCAUGGGCAGGUUGAAGGUUGGGUAACACUAACUGGAGGACCGAACCGACUAAUGUUGAAAAAUUAGCGGAUGACCUGUGGCUGGGGGUGAAAGGCCAAUCAAACCGGGAGAUAGCUGGUUCUCCCCGAAAGCUAUUUAGGUAGCGCCUCGUGAAUUCAUCUCCGGGGGUAGAGCACUGUUUCGGCUAGGGGGCCAUCCCGGCUUACCAACCCGAUGCAAACUGCGAAUACCGGAGAAUGUUAUCACGGGAGACACACGGCGG